UUUCACCUCAAUUGCUUGAUUAUCAUUUUUUUGUUCUGUUAAAUUCAAAACAACAGGACAUAAAGACCAAGGCAUUCCACAUGAUCAUAUAUUACAAAAGAGUAAAGAAAAAUUCAGGGUGGGUGCACAUCGUGCACACACAUAAUACACCUGCUUUUCUUUUAGUAUAAAGAAUUGAAAUAUGGGAAACAACUGCAUCCACUGAGACAUAAACAAGCACACAGACAAAAAGAAAGAGGAGCGAGAGGGAGAGAGAGAGGAGGAGAGCAUUAAAAAGGUCCAAUGCAGCUGUUUUUAUCUCAAUAUCAAAUCAUUUCAGGGUAACAGUAACCUUACGAUGAUUGUUUUCAAUUGAAAUGGUCAAAAAUAAGUACAAAUAGCUUCUUAGCAAAGAGCAAUUUUGCUAGGAAUGUAUGGGAUUGGUUUGAGUGAGGAGGGGAAAACUGAAAACUAGCUGUCAUUUGUCUAUUAACUCAUUUACUGGUGAUAUUACCAGGCAGGCCUAAACUCCAUCCCACCAAAACAUCCUAAGAUUUCAGGUGGUCUUUUCAACAGCUCUUACACUAAACAGUCAUUAUCAUCAUUUUCACAAUUUCACAGUAGGGGAGACGGGUAAAUUGAGCCAUUUCUUAUAUUCAGCAUCACUCUGUCAACGAAAUAGUAUUAUUUCUAACAAAGAUAUCUACAUGUAUUUCAGGAUGUUGUGUAUCCCUGGAAAUAGUCUGAAUUAAUGUAAUGUAAACAUUACAGUUUUGAAAACAUAGUUUGUCCCAAAAAAAGUGGUCUCUUGGCACAAUUUAUCCUGGGUAUGGGAUAAGUUAAGCCUCCUACAAAUAUCUGUACUAAAUUAAAUAUUAUCAGUAUCUUUCUAAAACCAUGUCUAUCUUUAUUUCCAAAUACAUUUCAACACAAUCGCAUUUUUGUCUUUUAAUCAUUUUAAGCAUCUUUUAACAAAGGCUUAAUACCUAAGAAAAACAUUGUACCUUUUUAAAACACUUAUUAACAAAGGCCAGGCCCUGCUGUUACUUCAUAUCCCAGCGAUAAUGUCUUGCAUUAUGCCUUGGAAGAAAACACUUCAAUUUGCUCAACUAUUGGCUCAACUUACCCCAAGGUAAACAUAUUGACGAUAUUAGCCCACACAGUUACAAGGAUGCACUUCAUGCUAGGUUUAGGACCUCAUAUUGAAGCUUUUAGAGACCCCAACUGAUUUAUAGAACAUCUUAAAAUGAUCUACUUUGGUUUAGAUGCAAGCAUCAUGAAACCUCUAACACAGGGGUUCCCAAAGUGUUUUGUCCCGCGACCCCAUUUUAAAUAUUUAAAAUGAAUCGCGACCCCGCCAUAUAAAGACAAUAAUGUAAUCAAUUGACAAUGUUAACUUUCUAAUUGGGCUAUGACAGUCUAUUACAAAUCAGUCUGAAAGUAUUUUUGAAAGUAUUUAAUUCUGAUGGAAGUAUGGGUUGAAGUGACUAAAAUGCAUCAGAAAGGUAUUGGGAAGUUCAGAAGAUCAUCAGGCAAUACUUUUGUAUGAUCUUCUGUGUAGAAAAUAAUGUAUUGUUGAUGAUUUUCUUUUUUCCAACAGCCUGAUUUAUUGCCUGGUCUUGUCCACUCUGUUCUAUCGAGUCAUUGUAGAGGGAAACAAAAUACUUAAACCGUUAGAAAGAGACACACACUAGGAAGAAAACAGAAAUGGCUCUGUUUUUUACAACCACUUCUAGCGGCUACCGGAGGUUACGGACCUAAUGUUUUGGUUAUUUUCAGAGUUUCUCUCGCGACCCCAUUUUCAAAAAGACUCCUAGUUUGGGAAACGCUGCUCUGACACAAUGAAUUCAUUUGAUUUGGAUAAAAUCUGUUUGUUUUUUUGAUCUAACUUGCUUACCACUUUUUUAAUAUGGUUUCUUCCUUCACAGACUCCACGAAAUUACCUUCUUAAAUAUUUAGUCAAAUUAUACAUUUUGUUUAUGAUUUCCUUAACACAAGGGUUGCUCAACUUACCCCAUAGGCUCAACUUAACCCACUCUCCCCUAUUAUUUCAACCUCAUAGUGUGGAAAUAUAUAUAAAACACAAGAAAAAUCACGUUUGACUGCACUGGGCCUUUAAGAGAAGAAUUGUGAAAAUAACUAAAAACAACAGUAUUAUAAUUGUAGAAUACUGUUGCAUAGUUUGAAGCAAACGGGUGACAUUUAGAAUGAUAAUGAAUCUUAUUUACAAAAGGGGGAUAUGGAGAGUACAGCGAAUGUGUAUGUGUUGUGUCUGUAUGUUUGUCAGGUGAGACACACACUGAGGAAAAGUGCUGCUCGAAAGGCCCUCCAAGAACUUUUACAGACUGUUACUGUACCCACAGAAAAUGAGCUUCAAUACAAACCCUCACACACAUUCAUUAUUAUGCGCACACGCACACACAAUUCAAGGAACCACAGCGACGUAUUUAAUGAACAAUUUCAGCCAAUUUAAUUCCUCCCUUAUCUCUGAUGUUGCGGUUGUUUCUCUAAAACAACAGGCCUGACUGUUUCAGUAUCUCAGCGCUGUGGGAACAUGACCAUGAAGCCAAAACGCAUUUCACUUUAACACCAAGCCAUGCCGAGUGCCUGUCAGAAUUAGUCAUGAUUGCAUUAACGUCAGCACAGGACAGGGUGAUGAAACAACGGCUCAUCCAAAGUGCGAGAGAAAUUAGCAAAACACAUUUCAAAAGCUGUCAGUGUUAACACAGUUCAAGAUAACAAAACAAGACAGUGCUCUUUGAAAUGGUUGUACAAUUAUGUUCACGCCAAGCCAACCAGAAUGAGUGAUGGAAUGCGGUCACUCCAACAUGCUCAGAUCAACCAAUCAGCCGCCUUCUCGGGACAGGUCUCCUUGGGAACAGAGAUUCUGAAUAUCUCUCGGUCUAUGGAACUGCCUGGUUUCAACAGCAUAGCGAUGAAGAGAGACACCAGUUGAAAGCAGUGUUUAAGACGAGGCACAGCUGUGAUGGUCACAGUAACUGGGGAUGUAAACGACACCGACUCAGAGGAAGAAUAGAGGAGAAGCUCUCCUUCUCUCUCUUAUGUUUUACUCCUCUGGACCAGCAGCUCAACCCACAGAGUAGAGAAGAGACAAGCUAGGCUGCUGUAGAUACUAGCAGAAUACGAUUCAUUUGUUACCGAGAUCGAAUUCUUCUCUGGUACAAGAGCAAGUUAGCCAUGUGUUUUUAACUAGACAAGAGACAUAUGGCCUCUGAAACAUCUCUGCUCUGCCCCAUAGCCGUUGGUGACCGCACACACACGCACACGCACGCACACGCACACGCACACACACACACACACACACACACACACACACAGGUCGCACCGACAGAGCAACAGCCUUUCUAGGAAAAAACAACUAGCGGGAUAUCGAAAGAGAGGAAGACAGAAACCGUGGUGGUCAAUUUGUGUACGAGCCUCAAAGCAUCAACUAAAAAGAAACUACCAUAAUGGAUAGAACUGUUGAAUAAACCAGUGAAGAAUCGCAGCCAUCUAGAUGCUGCAGCUAGAAGAGAGGUUGACUGCUGUUUGGAAUUGACAGAUGAGCGCUGUCCUUGGAUGGAGGGAGAUGGAAUGAGAGAGGAGAGAAAGAGAGUUGAGGGAGGGCAAUGAGGAAAUCGAUUCAUGUGAUCGGUGUGAAAUGAGUUGAUGAGCAAAUGCCUACCUUGGUAAAGAGUGAUUCUCCGUGGCUGUGGCUGGAUGAUGGAAGAAACAGUGAACAGCGUGGUAUCAUAAUUACUUGUCAUUUGGUGGUGAAAUAGAUUCAGCAUGGGGGUACUGAUUUAGGAAUGUUAUUUCUAAAUGCCAACAAUAAAUAAAACCCCAAGUAAUGACUUCUCUCAUGGAUAAAUAAAACUAAUAUUAACUGCGAAACUAUUAUUGUGUUAUGCAUGAUAUACAGCAGUGUUGUGUGUAUGCCGUUUUUGUUGGUUAUCACAUCAGUCCUCUGUGGUGAGAUGGGGUAAAGUAGGAUGGUAGACUGCAUGGUUGCAGUGAGACACAUUGGGAAUGAACAAUGACACAGGAUACAGUCAAGAAGUACCUUAGCUAAUAACCAAGUAGGAAUCAUUCAACACUAGUGAUGAAGCACCCAACAGGGACCUGCUACCUACAGACACAACCCUUAAUUGAACAUAUCUUUGUGCAACUGAAUUUAAGUCCCAUUCACUCACACAUCCAUUCCAUAUCUUCAAGGCAGCAUCUUCUCAGUGUAUGUUUCACGGAGGACAGAAACGGAGUCAAAAUGUGUACGAGUUUGUACGUGCAACUUUUGUUUUGAAAGCAAGUCAACGUUUGGGAUGUCUCAUUCCAUACUUAACCAUGCAGAACAUUGAACACAUAUUAAACACUUAGCUUUUUUCCCAAAUGCAGGUAUAUUUUUCUUCUUUUAGUACAGCGUGGUUUAAGCUACACAGAACACGAAAGUACCAAUCAACCAGGUCGGACAUAUUGCUUUAAACCACAAAAUUGUUUAUACGUCAUGCAUGCCACAUAGAUGGUAUUAUGUUUAUACAAAAAUAACACCAGUGUCUAUUACUGUGCAUCAUAUCAAUGACAGAAAGUUAUUUUUCGGUCUUUUCUCAAUUAGAUACAAUUGAAAAUGUAUUAAAACACAAGAACUGGUUCGGGUAAAUAUCGUCCUACGUAAAAUAAGGGGUUAUGACUUUAAACUGUGAUAUUCCAGUUUUCAAACCUUUUUUUUUUUUAUUUACAACUGCGGAGAAGCUUCCCCAAAGAAAUCCCCCAAAUCGAAAGAAGAAAAAAAAGCUAUCUAAGAAAGAUAAGCUUUAGAGAAGCAAUGCAGUCCAUUACAGUUAACAGUUAUUGCACAAUGCCUUAGCAAUUUCAUUUUGUCAUACAUGAGUCAUUAUGGAGACCUGUGCAAUAAGAGGAAAAGGUCUUACAGAUUGGUCAGUAGCCACGGUGGGCUUAUCCAUCACAGAAACCAAACAUAGGCUUUAUGUGGUCGGUCUAGCCGUUCUUUAGUUCUCCCUCCACCUCAGACAUACAGACCUGUUGGUCUGCUUCUGUUGUACAGUUGUGCCAAGGUAAAAAAAAAUAAUUAAAAAAAAAAACAUUGGGGUGUUUCUAGAGGAUGGAGUAUAUGUUCACCUGUGGGAUGGAAUGGGAGGGCAACCAGUAAGAGAUCACAACAGCACAAACCAAGGCCAUGGCAAUAAAAGAGGGACAAUCUUAGUGACGCUUCAAACUCUUUGUAUUCUCUGUCCACGUUUACAUGCAAAAACAUUUGCUAUUUUGGGAAGAUGGAAAAUAAGGAAAACACCUUAACCUGACAAUAAUUGUUUAAAACAAUCUGUGCAAAAAUAAAAAGGACAGAAAAGCAAUGAUUGUACAAAGCAAGACUUUGGCAGAACAUUCUUAAAGCUAUGCUCGGUGAUCCCUGACUGAUUGCCCCCUUUUCAUUACCUAGAGUUAAAAGUUAAGUUCAAAAUCAUCCUAUGACAAUAUUUACACAUACUGAAUGUAUAAGCGCAGCCUUCCAAAUAGAGUACGUCAGAAGAAAAGAAAGGAUUCGAAUUGAAAAUGUGUCCCCAAAGUGAGACUGUCUAAUGGUCGAACGGACACCGCAUCGAAGGCAUCUAGUUUCUGUUUAUGGACAAAAAUAGGAAGAGGAAGUGAUGUCACUACCGGUUUAACAGUUCUAUUCUCUUCCCAUAAACAGUGUACUAAGCCAUUAGAAUUAAAAGGGUAAUGCUGAAUUUGGAUGAAAUUCAUACCCUCUUUGACAAGUCGACUAACGUCACUACACAGGCAUCUGAGAGCACCGAUCCUCUCACAAAAUAAGUUAAACUCGCAGUCAUAUUAGUCUGAAAGAACAGAAAAAAAUUAACAAAUAUAUUUAUAUAGAGAUUAAAAAAUAUAUAUAUAUAU
Molecule: long non-coding RNA, 5892 nt
Filed under: Salmo salar (Atlantic salmon)
Lineage: Eukaryota; Metazoa; Chordata; Actinopteri; Salmoniformes; Salmonidae
Description: lncRNA (ENSSSAG00000086190.1)
Source: RNAcentral